This is a small nuclear RNA of Molossus molossus (Pallas's mastiff bat), 107 nucleotides long. Lineage: Eukaryota; Metazoa; Chordata; Mammalia; Chiroptera; Molossidae. The record is from RefSeq and is a predicted model, not a curated record.
GUGCUUGCUUUGGCAGCACAUAUAUUAAAAUUGGAAAAAUACAGGGAGGACUAGCGUGGCCCCUGCGUAAGGAUGAUACGCAAAUUCAUGAGGCAUUCCGUAUUUUU